GUUGUAGCUCAGUGAUAGAGUGUUUGCUCUAUCACUCUAUCACUCAAUUCUCAGCACCACAGAUAAAUAAAUAAAGAUCCAUCAACAACUAAAAAAAAAAAUUAAAAAAAGAAAUCCCAGGACUGGAGAUAUAGCUCAGUUGAUAGAAUACAAGGCCCUGGGUUCAAUACCCAGCACUUACA
Molecule: transfer RNA, 182 nt
Filed under: Marmota monax (woodchuck)
Lineage: Eukaryota; Metazoa; Chordata; Mammalia; Rodentia; Sciuridae
Description: tRNA.Asp
Source: RNAcentral